UACGGGGGGGGCAAGCGUUGUUCGGAAUUACUGGGCGUAAAGGGCUCGUAGGCGGCCAACUAAGUCAGACGUGAAAUCCCUCGGCUUAACCGGGGAACUGCAUCUGAUACUGGAUGGCUUGAGUUCGGGAGAGGGAUGCGGAAUUCCAGGUGUAGCGGUGAAAUGCGUAGAUAUCUGGAGGAACACCAGGUGGCGAAGGCGGCUCC
RNAcentral lists this ribosomal RNA (206 nucleotides) under uncultured bacterium. RNAcentral's name for it is "partial 16S ribosomal RNA". It matches the Rfam family "Bacterial small subunit ribosomal RNA", at positions 524 to 728 of the family's 1533-position model. The record is from RNAcentral.